CUGGUAGUAUAGUCCGGUCACACAAGGACGCAGCGCCUUGUGCGGCUGUCACCCGCACGACCCGGGUUCAAAUCCCGGCCAG
RNAcentral lists this transfer RNA (82 nucleotides) under Candidatus Bathyarchaeota archaeon. RNAcentral describes it as "tRNA-Thr". The record is from RNAcentral. Lineage: Archaea; Thermoproteati; Candidatus Bathyarchaeota.